UUUUUCCGUUGCAGGUGAAUUUGAUAGCUAAACUAAGCCAUCCAUAUCUUUUAGAGUACAAAGAUGCUUGGGUGGACAAGGUAUCCUAUCAUCCAGUUUUGUGGUUGCUUGGAUCAGAAAGUGCAAAACAUAGCCUUUAAUAGUUGUGAUUAUUGCUGCAUAAGCUGCACCAGAGAAAAAGCUCGACUUUCUUUUUCUUUCAGGGGAGCUGUAUAUGCAUCGUUGCCGAUUAUUACGAAGAUGAAAAUAUGGCGGAGGUCAUGAGGAAGUCUAGAGGAGCACUUUUCCCGGAAGAGGUAGUUAAAUGCGAUUUCAAUACUUAUGAAGCUUCUCUGUGCCUUCCCGGUAGCUUAAAAAAUUGUGUGUUUUUAUGUUGUUUUUUUCCUGCUAUUAUCGAAACUCUGCAAAUGGCUGACUCAUCUAUUGUAAGCUUUGGAGCAUCUGCAUUCCAACGGCGUUCAUCAUAGAGACCUCAAGUUAUGUAACAUAUUCAUCACAAAGGACAACGACAUCAGGUUAGGUGAUUUUGGAUUAGGAAAAUUGCUAGAUGCAGAAGGCCUUGCUUCCUCGGUAUCUGGCACACCAAACGACAUGUUCCCUGAGCUCCUUGCCGGCAUACCCUAUGGCUAUAAAUCUGAUAUAUGGUCGCUUGGUAAGAAAUAAGAAUGUUGAUGAAGCAAUGUAUUUCAGCUCUUUACAUCAUGUCCCUAAUACUAACACUUUAAUGUGAUUUUAGGAUUGUGUAUGUUUGACA
Long non-coding RNA from Capsicum annuum, 754 nucleotides. RefSeq lists it as uncharacterized. Lineage: Eukaryota; Viridiplantae; Streptophyta; Magnoliopsida; Solanales; Solanaceae. The transcript has 5 exons. The record is from RefSeq and is a predicted model, not a curated record.